Molecule: long non-coding RNA, 630 nt
Organism: Limanda limanda (common dab)
Lineage: Eukaryota; Metazoa; Chordata; Actinopteri; Pleuronectiformes; Pleuronectidae
Exons: 2
Source: RefSeq, a predicted model, not a curated record
CCAGUGUACACGCAGAUAGUGUUUACAGACUAUGGACAUGGUCUCCUGACGAGAUGCAUGGAGGAAUUGCAAUGGCCGUCAGUGCUGUGAGGCUAAAAUGUGAUGCACACGCCGCAUGGCCGACUGUGUGUGAACUCACCUGGAGACUCGGACAAGGCUCCGGGGGGCGUGGGGGUAGAGCUGUCGAAGAAAUCUGCACGGUGUCUUCUCUUCAGGUGACUUCUGAGGUUGGUGGUGUUUCCACCUUUCGCCAGCACUAUUUUCCUGCACAAGCGACACACGGCCUCUCCGGAGUUCAGCGGCUGCCCCUUCUCAUCCGCCUUCAAACCGAAGUACAGCCACACGAUGGACUUGCUCCUGGGUUUACUGAUGAGAUCCAUGUCUCUGCGGGUCACUGCUCCUCAGUGAUGGAGGCAGUCAGCGCUCACUUGGCUGCAGUUUGAAAAAAACACGUCAAAACAACAGCCGCAUGUAUUCCGGUGCGUGUCUACUCGCAGUGUUAGGGUACCGGUGCUGGGAGCGGUCAAAAAGGACGAAAGGCCUUUUUUCCCUCAAUUAUUUAUUUAUCAAAGCUGAUGUAAUGUGUAAUUUAAUAUAAUGGAGACGAAAAUAAAAAAUAAGUGCACAUUA